RNAcentral lists this ribosomal RNA (1481 nucleotides) under Vibrio parahaemolyticus. Its description in RNAcentral is "partial 23S ribosomal RNA". It matches the Rfam family "Bacterial large subunit ribosomal RNA", at positions 200 to 1733 of the family's 2925-position model. Lineage: Bacteria; Pseudomonadati; Pseudomonadota; Gammaproteobacteria; Vibrionales; Vibrionaceae. The record is from RNAcentral.
AUCUAAGUACCCCGAGGAAAAGAAAUCAACCGAGAUUCCGAAAGUAGCGGCGAGCGAAAUUGGACUAGCCCUUAAGCUUUACACGCGUUAGACGAACGGUCUGGAAAGUCCGACGAUACAGGGUGAUAGUCCCGUAGUUGACGACGUGUGUUCAGUGAAAUCGAGUAGGGCGGGACACGUGAUAUCCUGUCUGAAUAUGGGGGGACCAUCCUCCAAGGCUAAAUACUACUGACUGACCGAUAGUGAACCAGUACCGUGAGGGAAAGGCGAAAAGAACCCCUGUGAGGGGAGUGAAAUAGAACCUGAAACCGUGUACGUACAAGCAGUAGGAGCAGGCUUUGUCCUGUGACUGCGUACCUUUUGUAUAAUGGGUCAGCGACUUAUAUUCAGUGGCAAGGUUAACCAUCUAGGGGAGCCGUAGGGAAACCGAGUCUUAACUGGGCGUUCAGUCUCUGGAUAUAGACCCGAAACCAGGUGAUCUAGCCAUGGGCAGGUUGAAGGUUGAGUAACAUCAACUGGAGGACCGAACCGACUAAUGUUGAAAAAUUAGCGGAUGACUUGUGGCUAGGGGUGAAAGGCCAAUCAAACCUGGAGAUAGCUGGUUCUCCCCGAAAGCUAUUUAGGUAGCGCCUCGGACGAAUACUACUGGGGGUAGAGCACUGUUAAGGCUAGGGGGUCAUCCCGACUUACCAACCCUUUGCAAACUCCGAAUACCAGUAAGUACUAUCCGGGAGACACACGGCGGGUGCUAACGUCCGUCGUGGAGAGGGAAACAACCCAGACCGCCAGCUAAGGUCCCAAAUUACUACUAAGUGGGAAACGAUGUGGGAAGGCUCAGACAGCCAGGAUGUUGGCUUAGAAGCAGCCAUCAUUUAAAGAAAGCGUAAUAGCUCACUGGUCGAGUCGGCCUGCGCGGAAGAUGUAACGGGGCUAAGUAGUAAACCGAAGCUGCGGCAAUAUACUUUUGUAUAUUGGGUAGGGGAGCGUUCUGUAAGCGGUUGAAGGUGUGUGGUAACGCAUGCUGGACGUAUCAGAAGUGCGAAUGCUGACAUGAGUAACGAUAAAGGGGGUGAAAAACCUCCUCGCCGGAAGACCAAGGGUUCCUGUCCAACGUUAAUCGGGGCAGGGUAAGUCGACCCCUAAGGCGAGGCCGAAAGGCGUAGUCGAUGGGAAACGGGUUAAUAUUCCCGUACUUCUUACAAUUGCGAUGGGGGGACGGAGAAGGCUAGGUGGGCCUGGCGACGGUUGUCCAGGUUCAAGUGCGUAGGCUUAAGAGUUAGGUAAAUCCGGCUCUUUUUAAGGCUGAGACACGACGUCGAGCACCUACGGGUGUGAAGUCAUUGAUGCCAUGCUUCCAGGAAAAGCCUCUAAGCUUCAGAUUGUAAGGAAUCGUACCCCAAACCGACACAGGUGGUCGGGUAGAGAAUACCAAGGCGCUUGAGAGAACUCGGGUGAAGGAACUAGGCAAAAUGGUACCGUAA